RNAcentral lists this non-coding RNA (48 nucleotides) under Schistosoma margrebowiei. Lineage: Eukaryota; Metazoa; Platyhelminthes; Trematoda; Strigeidida; Schistosomatidae. The record is from RNAcentral.
AUUUAGUUGACGAGUCCCAAAUAAAACAAAACGCGCGUCAAACUUGAU